GUGUCAGCAGCCGCGGUAAUACGUAGGGGGCGAGCGUUGUCCGGAUUCAUUGGGCGUAAAGCGCGGGCAGGCGGCCCGCUCAGUCGGCCGUGAAAGCGCCGGGCUCAACUCGGCGAGGUCGGGCGAUACUGGCGGGCUCGAGGCUGGUAGAGGGCGGUGGAAUUCCGGGUGUAGUGGUGGAAUGCGUAGAGCUCCGGAGGAACACCAGUGGCGAAGGCGGCCGCCUGGGCCAGUCCUGACGCUGAGCCGCGAAAGCGUGGGGAGCGAUCCGGAUUAGAAACCCCCGUAGUCC
RNAcentral lists this ribosomal RNA (292 nucleotides) under uncultured bacterium. RNAcentral describes it as "partial 16S ribosomal RNA". It matches the Rfam family "Bacterial small subunit ribosomal RNA", at positions 505 to 796 of the family's 1533-position model. The record is from RNAcentral.